AGAGUUUGAUCAUGGCUCAGAUUGAACGCUGGCGGCAUGCCUUACACAUGCAAGUCGAACGGUAACAGGUCUUCGGAUGCUGACGAGUGGCGAACGGGUGAGUAAUACAUCGGAACGUGCCUAGUAGUGGGGGAUAACUACUCGAAAGAGUAGCUAAUACCGCAUGAGAUCUACGGAUGAAAGCAGGGGAUCGCAAGACCUUGUGCUACUAGAGCGGCUGAUGGCAGAUUAGGUAGUUGGUGGGAUAAAAGCUUACCAAGCCGACGAUCUGUAACUGGUCUGAGAGGAUGAUCAGUCACACUGGAACUGAGACACGGUCCAGACUCCUACGGGAGGCAGCAGUGGGGAAUAUUGGACAAUGGGCGAAAGCCUGAUCCAGCCAUGCCGCGUGUGUGAAGAAGGUCUUCGGAUUGUAAAGCACUUUAAGUUGGGAGGAAGGGCAUUAACCUAAUACGUUAGUGUUUUGACGUUACCGACAGAAUAAGCACCGGCUAACUACGUGCCAGCAGCCGCGGUAAUACGUAGGGGGCAAGCGUUGUCCGGAAUUAUUGGGCGUAAAGCGCGCGCAGGCGGCUGUCUAAGUCUGGUGUAUAAGCCCAGGGCUCAACCCUGGUUCGCACUGGAAACUGGAUGGCUUGAGUGCAGGAGAGGAAAGUGGAAUUCCACGUGUAGCGGUGAAAUGCGUAGAGAUGUGGAGGAACACCAGUGGCGAAGGCGACUUUCUGGACUGUAACUGACGCUGAGGCGCGAAAGCGUGGGGAGCAAACAGGAUUAGAUACCCUGGUAGUCCACGCCGUAAACGAUGAGUGCUAGGUGUUAGGGGUUUCGAUACCCUUGGUGCCGAAGUAAACACAAUA
This 857-nucleotide ribosomal RNA is filed under the name uncultured Pseudomonadota bacterium. RNAcentral's name for it is "bacterial SSU rRNA". It matches the Rfam family "Bacterial small subunit ribosomal RNA", at positions 8 to 862 of the family's 1533-position model. The record is from RNAcentral. Lineage: Bacteria; Pseudomonadati; Pseudomonadota.